Molecule: unclassified non-coding RNA, 414 nt
Filed under: Hevea brasiliensis (rubber tree)
Lineage: Eukaryota; Viridiplantae; Streptophyta; Magnoliopsida; Malpighiales; Euphorbiaceae
Source: RNAcentral
AUAUGGUGCUAGUUUGAGGAAGCAGAUUAAGAAGAUGGAAGUCAGCCAGCACAGCAAAUACUUCUGCGAGUUUUGCGGAAAGUAUGCCGUAAAGAGGAAGGCUGUUGGGAUAUGGGGUUGCAAGGACUGCGGAAAGGUGAAAGCCGGAGGUGCCUACACAUUGAACACUGCAAGUGCGGUGACUGUUAGGAGCACAAUUCGAAGGUUGAGGGAGCAGACUGAGAGUUAAGUUAGAUUUAUAUUUUGUUUUCCUUCUGUGUUGAGUUAUAUUACCGGUUUGAUAGUGUAGAGAGUUCUUGGAAGAAGAUUGUUCUGAGCAAUUUGACUUCAUUUCAAGUUGAGACUCCAGAGCUUUUAUUGAACUAGCUCUGCUUUUUUAGCCAGAUUAUUUGAAAGAAGUAUCCUGGAUUUUUG